Pantherophis guttatus is the source of this 2956-nucleotide non-coding RNA. The record is from RefSeq and is a predicted model, not a curated record. Lineage: Eukaryota; Metazoa; Chordata; Lepidosauria; Squamata; Colubridae.
CUGUGGCACCCUGCUUGAUGCUUCAGCUCAUUCUCCAAAUUCCCUGAAUGCCUGAGAGGGAUGCUACACUGAAAGAACUCUGGGAAAUGUAAAUGGCAUCCAGAUAAACAUGGCAGCUGUUUAGAGAACUAGGCCAAAAGAUAACCAGUGACCCAGUUCCUUUUAUGAUGGGCCCAGCAAAGAUGAGAUAGGGUGGCUGCAACUGUCUGGGAAUGUAGAGUUGUCCUAUUCCUGUCUAACUGUUUGUGUACUACCUAAAUACUUUCUUCUAACCAAUCUGAGAUGCAGACACCAUAGCUAGGAAAACAGAUUGCACAUCACAUGCUGAGGGAAGACGACACUUGGAAACUUUCAGACACAGCAAGAAAAAGUGAAGCCUUUUCACUGAGCUUUAUUUCUUGAGUCUGUUUCAAAAUCUUGUCAGACGCCCAAGUGUUUGUUUUCAUGCUCCAGAUUCUCAGGUAUCCAUAUAAUGGAUCUUGAAAAAUUUUGCAGUUCAUGCUGUUUUCUUCCCACACCGGAGUAUCCCAUGGAAGUGAGAAACCUGGAUCAACUUUCUUGCGAUCUGAAUUUGCAUAUUUGAAACUGUCCUCUCUGCAAACCAUCUAUCCUGUAUAUGCUAUAACAUUGAAGACUUAACUUUAUUAAGAAAUACAGCUGCCCUCCACCUGCAAAAUGAAAAGGCCUGAAAUUAUGGAAGAUAAUUUACCUUCUCGAAGUUGACUGCUCCUGAUGGUUAUGGAAAUUGCUAAGUAAAAUGCAAUUUAAAAUGAAAGCCAAAUUUGGAACAAUACAUCAUUAUGUAUGUAAACAUAUGUACAACAUUCGUAAUAAAUGUCCUCUGCAACUAAUGUAUAAAACACUUUUUUAAAAUUAAAGACAUGUUUGAAUUUUUGCACCGUAAAGAAAAGCAGGGAGACCCAUGUGCAGAAAGGGAGUCUUGUAAAAUAUCUAUAUAUCUCAAAUGGAAUAAAUUAUCAGCUCUCUUUAGAGUUUGCUCUGAAUUGGGGCCAAUGCAGCUGCGAUUUUCACUGCUGUUUGAUCUGCCCUUUCAAGUUCUGAUGAUCCUUCCAAAUUGCUUUUAAUGGACAGAAGCCAACAAAAGAAGGGGAGCUUGCUGUCAUAAAACCGGAUGUGUAAUUUGUUCAACAUUUAUACCUGUGCUUUGUAGUUCCCGAAAGCUGCUGCGCUGAAAACUUGUGGAAGGAAGAAAGAUGGAAACAAAAAGACACUACCUGGACUGGUUUCAGGAACUACAGCAAAAUUUGUUGCAUAUUCUGAUGUCCAGGAGCCAUGAUGGCGCAGUGGUUAGAAUGCAGUAUUGCAAGCUAACUCUACUGACUGCCAGCAGUUUGAUCCUAACCGGCUCAAGGUUGACUCAGCCUUCCAUCCUUCUGAGGGUUCCUGCAAAGCUUUGAUUGUCCUACUGUCUUCCACAUCAAAUACACUGCAGAGCAUUUUGAUGAGCGGAGAAGUCAGGCUAGAAACGUUCUCUAAAGCAGGCCAAAGUUUUCGGAGAUAAUUGCCUGUAUUAAAAAAAAUGCUUGACGUGACUUUAGUAAGCUACGAAGACACUGCCUUGGAUUGCUGCACGUUGGGAGCAAUCUGGAGCCUUUGCAAAUGGCCUUGCAGAUGUUGGUCUUUGACAUUAAAGGGACAGCCCUUCCUUUUAUCCCAAUUUCUUUGAAAAGUGCGCCUGUCAUAUGGGAAUCCUUCAAACCUGAUCCACAGGCCACUGAAGCUAAUUAUGAUGUUUCUGUUAGUUUAAACAGGCCCGAAAUUACUCCUUAGUGUUACAGCAGUUCCAAGUGCUACUGUUUACUUUCUUGAAAUAGGUCUCAGGGGACCCUAAUUAGGCAGCAUUUGCAUAUUGCUUUCGUCAUGACAAAUGCGCUGCCAGUGCAGAUCUUUCUUUACAGGGGAAAAAAAUGGAUAAUGAUCAUAAUUUAUAGCACAUCCCUUUAUAUGCAAAUAUAGGUUACUUACAUACUUACUUUCAUCUUUGUUGUGAUGUUUGCUAAUUUUGCAGUGACCUGUCACAUUGCACGGAAAACUCGUAACAGGGAGAAACAAGCAUAUAACAGGGCAUAAUAUUUUCUGGCUUUAAUUUGAAAGGUAGGAGGUUGAUCAGAGAAAUGGAAAUCUCUAAUAUAAAAUUGGUUUUCAAUGACAAAACUAGUUCUGCCUUUUGCUUUUAUAGAUUUUAACAUGUAUCAAACCAAACUGAAGCAAGCUGAACCAUUUUAUAUAAUGCCCAACGUGAAAAGAAAUACUGCUAGGAAAAAGAUUUAUACAGUUUCCCCCAAAAUAAGACAUCCCCUGAUAAUAAGCCCAAUCGGGCUUUUGAGUGCAUGGCAAUAAGGCUAAGCGCUUAUUUCAGGGUUCAAAAAAAUAUAAGACAGGGUCUUAUUUUCAGAGAAACACAAUAAGUCUUGCGGAUCCCCAUAACACUAACCUAAUUCCAGCUUUCGUUGCAGAGCUGCUCCAUGCUAUGAAAUUUGCAAGCUAGGACAUCAAUUUUAAUUCAAAAUCUGCUGGAUAUUUAGUUUUUCUGAUGUUUGCAUUUCUGCCAAAAAGGACCUGAUAAGAUGUUGCAAAAUUCAGAGAUAGCUUUGUUGAGGGGUGAUGUCAUCAGGAAUCACAAAAAUGAUAGAGAUGGACAGCAUAAUACAUACAUAUAUACUUAUAACUUUGUCUCAGGCUGGAUCUCCCUAAAUGAGGUUUGGCUUGGAAUCACACAGGUUUAGAGAUCAUCCACAAAUCCUUCACAUUUCACUAGACAGAAUAUUUUGAACUUUAGGUAGAAACUAAAGUACAGAGCUAGGAGAAGGAGCAUAAUGUUCUCCUGAGUCCCUGAUCAAUGAAAGAUCUCUAAGGAGCAUGAAAAAGUCUGGUAAAGCAAGCAAGGGACAUUAGCAUGGAGGUCUGCAGGAUUUUACUGCUUUCAUUAACAUGA